GAUGAACGCUGGCGGCGUGCCUAAUACAUGCAAGUCGAGCGAACAGACGAGGAGCUUGCUCCUCUGACGUUAGCGGCGGACGGGUGAGUAACACGUGGAUAACCUACCUAUAAGACAGGGAUAACUUCGGGAAACCGGAGCUAAUACCGGAUAAUAUAUUGAACCGCAUGGUUCAAUAGUGAAAGACGGUUUUGCUGUCACUUAUAGAUGGAUCCGCGCCGCAUUAGCUAGUUGGUAAGGUAACGGCUUACCAAGGCAACGAUGCGUAGCCGACCUGAGAGGGUGAUCGGCCACACUGGAACUGAGACACGGUCCAGACUCCUACGGGAGGCAGCAGUAGGGAAUCUUUCGCAAUGGGCGAAAGCCUGACGGAGCAACGCCGCGUGAGUGAUGAAGGUCUUCGGAUCGUAAAACUCUGUUAUUAGGGAAGAACAAAUGUGUAAGUAACUAUGCACGUCUUGACGGUAUCUAAUCAGAAAGCCACGGCUAACUACGUG
Molecule: ribosomal RNA, 497 nt
Filed under: uncultured bacterium
Lineage: Bacteria
Description: partial 16S ribosomal RNA
Rfam family: Bacterial small subunit ribosomal RNA
Source: RNAcentral